RNAcentral lists this ribosomal RNA (1770 nucleotides) under Triticum aestivum (bread wheat). RNAcentral's name for it is "partial small subunit ribosomal RNA". Lineage: Eukaryota; Viridiplantae; Streptophyta; Magnoliopsida; Poales; Poaceae. The record is from RNAcentral.
AUGUCGAUCUCGUCGGCGCGCCAGCGCCGGUCCACGGCUGCGUCGCCGCUAACCGACGACGGGUACUCCAAGGAGGCCAAGGAGAGGAGGCGGCGCACCGACGGCGAGGAGGUGGAGGAGGGCAUGCGGUGGUUCCUCCCGUUCCUGGCCCUCGGCCUCCUCCGCCACAUGAGCGCGUCCUCCAACCUGAUCCACGACUGCGACGAGGUGUUCAACUACUGGGAGCCCCUCCACUUCCUCCUCUACCGCUUCGGCUUCCAGACCUGGGAGUACAGUUCCGACCAUGCUCUUAGGUCAUAUUUGUACCUUUUCAUUCAUGGUCUUGUAGCUGGUCCUGCUUCAUCAAUCUUUGGCGGUGAACAUAAGGUUCGUGUGUUUUACGCUGUGAGAAUCUUUCUUGGACUUCUAUCGACUAUAACAGAAACUGUUCUGGUAGUUGCUCUUUCAAGAAGAUAUGGAAAGAGACUUGCUUGUUAUGUCCUUGCAAUGCUAUGCUUAACCAGUGGCUGCUUCUUUGCUAGUACCAGUUUCUUGCCAAGUUCGUUCUCCAUGUAUGCUGUAACACUUUCAUCGGCACUCUUCCUUCUAGAGAAGUAUGCUUGUGCAGUCGCUGUUGCAGCUGCUGGAGUAAUUCUUGGCUGGCCUUUCUCGAUUUUGGUGUUUCUCCCUGUCACUGUUUACUCAUUAUUCAGGGGACAUUUUAAAAGGGUGUUUCUGUCUGGACUUUUGACUUCACUAUGCCUUCUUGUCCUUUCGGUUGUUGCUGAUUAUUACAGCUAUGGUAGAUGGACAUCAUCCGUGUUCAAUCUUCUAAAAUAUAAUGUGCUUGGUGGUGGUGAGAGUCACUUGUAUGGAACAGAGGGGACCACAUUCUACUUCAGGAAUGCAUUCAAUAACUUCAAUUUCGCAUUUGUUUUGGCUCUGCUAUUCGUGGGGGUUGCACUAUCUGCAAGGAAGAACUAUGCCCCAGAUCUGUUGAUAGUUGUCUCUCCUGUCUACAUUUGGUUGGCUUUCAUGUCUUUGCAGGCGCAUAAAGAAGAAAGGUUUCUCUAUCCAAUUUAUCCAUUGAUAUGUGUGGCAGCAGCUUCUGUUAUUGACAGCUUUCCUUAUUUUUUCCACGACAAAUAUGCAAAUGAGCAGUCAAUUUUUGAGAAGAUAGCGAAGGGUCUGCGGCCUUUGAUCCUAGGCUUUAUUUUGUGCACCUCACACAGCCGAACAUUUUCUAUGUUGAAUGGAUAUGGUGCUCCUCUGCAGAUCUAUCGGCAUCUAGAAUAUCAUGAAGAUACUGGGCCUGGGUCUAUUCUGUGUGUUGGAAGUGAGUGGCACCGCUAUCCUUCAUCAUUCUUCGUACCCUCCUAUAUCAGCGAAGUUCGCUGGAUAGACGACGGUUUCCGAGGCCUUCUCCCAUUUCCCUUCAACGAAACUCUGGGAGGCACCACUGCUGCUCCAUCUUAUUUCAAUACCAAGAACAAGGCCUCCGACAAGCAAUACUUGAAGGACAUUGGAGCCUGCAACUUACUGAUGGAACUUGAUCUGAGGCGGCCUUACCCCUCUCGUGGAAAUGACCUGUCAACAUGGGAGACACUGGCAGCGCUACCAUUUCUAGACAGAGAGCUUUCGCCGGCACUAUACCGAUCGUUCUUCAUACCAUACCAAUGGGAGCACAAGAAUGUUUUCGGCCUGUACAAGUUGCUGAGGAGGCUGCCUACUGACCAAGGGCAACUCAAAGCUAACUCAUCGGCAGAUGCCGCAUUUGCUUCUGUGAGCUGA